ACGCUCGACACCUACGGGAGACAGCAGUGGGGAAUAUUGCACAAUGGGGGAAACCCUGAUGCAGCGACGCCGCGUGAGUGAAGAAGUAUUUCGGUAUGUAAAGCUCUAUCAGCAGGGAAGAAAAUGACGGUACCUGACUAAGAAGCCCCGGCUAACUACGUGCCAACAGCCGCGGUAAUCUGAGCGGGCUGGCAAGGC
This 198-nucleotide ribosomal RNA is filed under the name uncultured bacterium. RNAcentral describes it as "partial 16S ribosomal RNA". It matches the Rfam family "Bacterial small subunit ribosomal RNA", at positions 328 to 539 of the family's 1533-position model. The record is from RNAcentral.